CUACGGGUUGCUCCAGUAGGGAAUCUUAGACAGUGGGGGAAACCCUGAUCUAGCCAUGCCGCGUGAGUGAUGAAGGCCUUAGGGUUGUAAAGCUCUUUCGCUGGGGAAGAUAAUGACGGUACCCAGUAAAGAAACCCCGGCUAACUCCGUGCCAGCAGCCGCGGUAAUACGGAGGGGGUUAGCGUUGUUCGGAAUUACUGGGCGUAAAGCGCGCGUAGGCGGGCUAUUAAGUCAGGGGUGAAAUCCCGGGGCUCAACCCCGGAACUGCCUUUGAUACUGGUAGUCUUGAGUUCGAGAGAGGUGAGUGGAAUUCCGAGUGUAGAGGUGAAAUUCGUAGAUAUUCGGAGGAACAUCAGUGGCGAAGGCGACUCACUGGCCCGAUACUGACGCUGAGGUGCGAAAGUGUGGGGAGCAAACAGGAUUAGAUACCCUGGUAGUC
This 439-nucleotide ribosomal RNA is filed under the name uncultured bacterium. RNAcentral's name for it is "partial 16S ribosomal RNA". It matches the Rfam family "Bacterial small subunit ribosomal RNA", at positions 339 to 795 of the family's 1533-position model. The record is from RNAcentral.